CGCCUCUUGAACUAACUAUAUAAGAGGUCCAGCCUGCCCAGUGAUAUUAAUUCAACGGCCGCGGUAUUCUGACCGUGCAAAGGUAGCGCAAUCACUUGUCUUUUAAAUGAAGACCCGUAUGAAUGGCUAAACGAGGGCAUAACUGUCUCCCUUUUCCAACCAGUGAAAUUAAUCUCCCCGUGCAGAAGCGGGGAUUCUAUCAUAAGACGAGAAGACCCUGUGGAGCUUUAGACAAAAGCCAGACCACCCCCAUCCUAUUAAUCAAAAUUAAGAACCCAUUGACUACUGACCUCCUGUCUUCGGUUGGGGCGACCACGGAGUAAACAAAAACCUCCACGCGGAAUGAAAUCAGCCUCCUUAAAACUAAGAGCCACACCUCAAAGUAACAGAAUGUUUGACCAAGAAGAUCCGGCAAUGCCGAUCAACGAACUAAGUUACCCCAGGGAUAACAGCGCAAUCUCCUUUUAGAGUCCAUAUCGACAAGGAGGUUUACGACCUCGAUGUUGGAUCAGGACAUCCUAAUGGUGCAGCCGCUAUUAAGGGUUAGUUUGUUCAACAAUUAAUAGUCCU
Molecule: ribosomal RNA, 570 nt
Filed under: Pseudoplesiops rosae (Rose Island basslet)
Lineage: Eukaryota; Metazoa; Chordata; Actinopteri; Pseudochromidae
Description: partial 16S ribosomal RNA
Rfam family: Bacterial large subunit ribosomal RNA
Source: RNAcentral